RNAcentral lists this small RNA (578 nucleotides) under Pan troglodytes (chimpanzee). Its description in RNAcentral is "sense intronic". The record is from RNAcentral. Lineage: Eukaryota; Metazoa; Chordata; Mammalia; Primates; Hominidae.
UAUACCAUGGGGACAUCACGUUCCCUGCUCUCAGUUUCCCCAUCUCUAAAAUCUGGGCAAUGAAUUAGGUGGUCUCUAGGAUCUGCUUCUGACCUGACAGUCGUUGCUUCUAAGACAACAGCAGAAAGUGCCUACAAUUCACGCAGGAGAGCUACGCAGCAGCGCUUCCCACACUCUGCAGCAGAGGACCUCCACUUCCAUAAAACACAACAAAGACGAAGCACUAGGAGAAGGAAGUGCCGCACAGUGCCACCUGCGGUGAUGGCCUCUACACACUGGCUCUGGUUCCUGGAUGGUUCUCAUCCCCGACCAUGGCACACCAUUCAUGGACUGUGCAGACCAUGUGGAAUAACACCGCCCACAGUUAGAGUAGUUCCAAGCACAGACCUCAUUUAUUCUCCAGCUCCGUCACUUUCUAAAUGUGGGAGCCCCCGGGGCAAGCUGACCAAUCUCUGUGCUUCUGUCCCAUCACCCCUCUUCUGAAAUGGGGAUACUGAUGGUAUCCACCUCCUAAGGUUGUUGCGAGGAUGAAGUUAUUUCACAUAUAAAGUGCUGAGAGUAGUGCCUGCUUCACAGAA